GCUGUCUUUAAAAUUGGGAACAGGAAUGCGGGAAUGGAGAAAUACGGGAACGGGGAAUGCGCGAAUGUAGGUUAACGAAUUUUUCUUGAAACAGUCUAGCCAAAGAAAUAUUUAAAUACGUGUUGAAAGGAAAACCACUGUAUUGCAAUUAUUUAAAUGAAAGUGUUGGCGUGCACAGACCAGUUUAUUAAUAUGACUUCGAAAACAAGAAGAUAGUCGAACUACGG
Non-coding RNA from Paramuricea clavata, 227 nucleotides. NCBI's taxonomy places the organism in Eukaryota, Metazoa, Cnidaria, Anthozoa, Malacalcyonacea, Plexauridae. The record is from the annotation of a GenBank genome assembly.